Molecule: ribosomal RNA, 482 nt
Filed under: uncultured bacterium
Lineage: Bacteria
Description: partial 16S ribosomal RNA
Rfam family: Bacterial small subunit ribosomal RNA
Source: RNAcentral
AUUGAACGCUGGCGGCAUGCCUUACACAUGCAAAUCGAACGGUAACGGGCCUUCGGGUGCCGACGAGUGGCGAACGGGUGAGUAAUACAUCGAAACGUGCCCGAUCGUGGGGGAUAACGAGGCGAAAGCUUUGCUAAUACCGCAUACGAUCUACGGAUGAAAGCAGGGGACCGCAAGGCCUUGCGCGGACGGAGCGGCCGAUGGCAGAUUAGGUAGUUGGUGGGAUAAAAGCUUACCAAGCCGACGAUCUGUAGCUGGUCUGAGAGGAUGAUCAGCCACACUGGGACUGAGACACGGCCCAGACUCCUACGGGAGGCAGCAGUGGGGAAUUUUGGACAAUGGGCGCAAGCCUGAUCCAGCCAUGCCGCGUGCAGGAUGAAGGCCUUCGGGUUGUAAACUGAUUUUGUACGGAACGAAAAGCCUUCUUUUAAUACAGGAGGGUCAUGACGGUACCGUAAGAAUAAGCACCGGCUAACUACGUG